Ricinus communis (castor bean) is the source of this 1969-nucleotide RNA transcript. It is a transcript of the gene named serine/arginine-rich splicing factor SR30, with no coding region annotated. The record is from RefSeq and is a predicted model, not a curated record. The transcript has 17 exons. Lineage: Eukaryota; Viridiplantae; Streptophyta; Magnoliopsida; Malpighiales; Euphorbiaceae.
UAUGUUAUUGCAAAUUCUUGUGAUUUUAGCAGUGUUCUUUUUCAUUUCAGUUUUAAUUGAUAAGUGCUUAUUAUUAGGGAAAAGAAUGAGCAGCCGUGCAAGCCGCACUUUGUACGUAGGGAAUCUUCCUGGAGACAUUCGACAGAGAGAAGUAAAAGAUUUGUUUUACAAGUAUGGACCCAUUGUUGAGGUUGAUCUAAAAAUUCCACCAAGACCUCCAGGCUAUGCUUUUGUUGAGUUUGAAGAUGCUCGUGAUGCUGAAGAUGCUAUUCGUGGUCGUGAUGGGUAUAAUUUUGAUGGGUGUCGUUUACGAGUGGAGCUUGCUCAUGGCGGUCGAAGACAUUCAUCUCCAGGGGAUCGUUAUAGUAGUUACAGCGGUAGAAGUGGAAGCCGUGGUCCUUCCAGGCGCUCUGAUUAUCGUGUUCUGGUCACUGGAUUACCUUCAUCUGCUUCAUGGCAAGAUCUCAAGGAUCAUAUGCGACGAGCUGGGGAUGUCUGUUUUUCUCAAGUCUUUCGUGAUCGUGGUGGUAUGACAGGAAUUGUAGAUUAUACAAACUAUGAUGAUAUGAAACAUGCUAUCAAGAAACUUGAUGACUCUGAGUUUCGCAAUGCAUUUUCUCGGUCUUAUGUGCGGGUGAGGGAGUAUGAUUCAAGAAGAAGCUACUCCCGAAGUCCUAGUUGUGGCCCAUAUGACCGGAGUAGGAGUAGGAGCAGGAGCAGGACUCGGAGCCGCCAUAGUGACUGGAGCAGGAGCAAGUCUCCGGGCGCUAAAUAUCAUAGUCGCUCUCUGUCUGUAUCUCCUGGUAGAUCUGUUUCUCCACGCUCUCAUGCUGGAUCGUCUCCCAGAUCUUCAAGACCUGGCUAAUGGCGCGUGAACCGGCAGUCCACAAUUUGCUUAAAGGAUGAAUCGGAACUGGCUGUUCAUGGUUUGUGUGAAGGAUGAGCCAUGAACCAGCCCUUCCAUAGAUGGUCUGGAUUAUUGUUCAGGGGCAAAUGAGUUCUAGCUGGUUCACGUUUUUGGUUCAUUGUCAGUUCCAUGAACGCCUGGACUGCUGGCUCAGAUUCUAGGUGCUUCUGAACCUUAACCAGCCCCUCCCUUCAUGGAACCAGGCCUGGUCAUGAACAGGAACCAUGGAACCAUUGGCCAUGGCUGGCGGAGGUUUGACCAGGCCAAUUCACACUGUCCGCUGCUCGAACUGGCCUUUUGGUGACGUCUACAUGUUUGUCUAGCAACCUGGGGAUUGGAUGUUAAGAACUUGAUGUGGUGAUGUGCUCAUAUACCUGCAUCUCUUUGGUGGUUUGAGUGCUAGACUUGAUCCAGUGUGGAUGUGUCACAAUAUGAAAGCUGGAUUACUCUGAACUAAGUGCUAUUGGUACCAUCCCACAGAUCAGCUAUAGUUAUGAAAAUUGAAACUACUUCAGCAUCUAUCCCUUCCUGAACUUGGCGAAACUGAUAGGGAAAGUGUAGUUCUCCUCUUAUCUGGUAUGGAUGGGCAGGAUAUCCCAAACUUUGGCAACUCAGUUCAUGGUGCUAUAGUGAUUUUUCUUUCCUCAUGUUGAUAUAUUCUGGUGAACUUCUGGGAAAAGCCCAUCACCAAAGUGUGAGAUCCCGAUCAAGAUCAAGAUCCCCACUAGCAUCUCCUUCUAGCAAACAAGCAGGUAGAAGAGCAACCAAACGAGACAGAAGCAAAAGCAGAAGCAGUGGAUCUCAAUCCCAAUCGCCUGCUGUUAGAUCUGAUCGAAGCCGAUCGAUGGACUCUGUGGAUUCUAGAGAUCGUUAUUGAAGAUUUUCCUUGCCCUAGCUGUAAAUCGAUGUUAGUCAACAGCCAGAAACCUUUAAUGUGCUAGAAAUAGCUUAAAUAUACAUUGCACUCUGGACAAUUGUUUGAUCGUUUUAUGUAUUUGAGCUUAUGCUGGAGAGGCUAUUCAUGGUUUCACACAUUUCUUUCAAUAAGUCCUUUUCACUGUA